AACGAACGCUGGCGGCAUGCCUAACACAUGCAAGUCGAACGAGACCUUCGGGUCUAGUGGCGCACGGGUGCGUAACGCGUGGGAAUCUGCCCUUGGGUUCGGAAUAACUCAGAGAAAUUUGAGCUAAUACCGAAUGAUGUCGCAAGACCAAAGAUUUAUCGCCCAAGGAUGAGCCCGCGUAGGAUUAGCUUGUUGGUGAGGUAAAAGCUCACCAAGGCGACGAUCCUUAGCUGGUCUGAGAGGAUGAUCAGCCACACUGGGACUGAGACACGGCCCAGACUCCUACGGGAGGCAGCAGUGGGGAAUAUUGGACAAUGGGCGAAAGCCUGAUCCAGCAAUGCCGCGUGAGUGAUGAAGGCCUUAGGGUUGUAAAGCUCUUUUACCAGGGAUGAUAAUGACAGUACCUGGAGAAUAAGCUCCGGCUAACUCCGUGCCAGCAGCCGUGGUAAUGUAUCGUACG
This 460-nucleotide ribosomal RNA is filed under the name uncultured bacterium. RNAcentral's name for it is "bacterial SSU rRNA". It matches the Rfam family "Bacterial small subunit ribosomal RNA", at positions 29 to 531 of the family's 1533-position model. The record is from RNAcentral.